UAGGGAAUCUUCCGCAAUGGGCGAAAGCUUGACGGAGCAACGCCGCGUGAGUGAUGAAGGUCUUCGGAUCGUAAAACUCUGUUAUUAGGGAAGAACAAAUGUGUAAGUAACUAUGCACGUCUUGACGGUACCUAAUCAGAAAGCCACGGCUAACUACGUGCCAGCAGCCGCGGUAAUACGUAGGUGGCAAGCGUUAUCCGGAAUUAUUGGGCGUAGAGCGCGCGUAGGCGGUUUUUUAAGUCUGAUGUGAAAGCCCACGGCUCAACCGUGGAGGGUCAUUGGAAACUGGAAAACUUGAGUGCAGAAGAGGAAAGUGGAAUUCCAUGUGUAGCGGUGAAAUGCGCAGAGAUAUGGAGGAACACCAGUGGCGAAGGCGACUUUCUGGUCUGUAACUGACGCUGAUGUGCGAAAGCGUGGGGAUCAAACAGG
Molecule: ribosomal RNA, 429 nt
Filed under: Actinomycetes bacterium
Lineage: Bacteria; Bacillati; Actinomycetota; Actinomycetes
Description: Actinobacteria bacterium partial 16S ribosomal RNA
Rfam family: Bacterial small subunit ribosomal RNA
Source: RNAcentral